This 570-nucleotide ribosomal RNA is filed under the name Enterobacterales bacterium. Its description in RNAcentral is "bacterial SSU rRNA". It matches the Rfam family "Bacterial small subunit ribosomal RNA", at positions 832 to 1402 of the family's 1533-position model. Lineage: Bacteria; Pseudomonadati; Pseudomonadota; Gammaproteobacteria; Enterobacterales. The record is from RNAcentral.
UUGAGGCGUGGCUUCCGGAGCUAACGCGUUAAAUCGACCGCCUGGGGAGUACGGCCGCAAGGUUAAAACUCAAAUGAAUUGACGGGGGCCCGCACAAGCGGUGGAGCAUGUGGUUUAAUUCGAUGCAACGCGAAGAACCUUACCUACUCUUGACAUCCAGAGAACUUUCCAGAGAUGGAUUGGUGCCUUCGGGAACUCUGAGACAGGUGCUGCAUGGCUGUCGUCAGCUCGUGUUGUGAAAUGUUGGGUUAAGUCCCGCAACGAGCGCAACCCUUAUCCUUUGUUGCCAGCGGUUCGGCCGGGAACUCAAAGGAGACUGCCAGUGAUAAACUGGAGGAAGGUGGGGAUGACGUCAAGUCAUCAUGGCCCUUACGAGUAGGGCUACACACGUGCUACAAUGGCAUAUACAAAGAGAAGCGACCUCGCGAGAGCAAGCGGACCUCAUAAAGUAUGUCGUAGUCCGGAUUGGAGUCUGCAACUCGACUCCAUGAAGUCGGAAUCGCUAGUAAUCGUAGAUCAGAAUGCUACGGUGAAUACGUUCCCGGGCCUUGCACUCCCCGCCCGUCAAAA